Molecule: ribosomal RNA, 450 nt
Filed under: uncultured bacterium
Lineage: Bacteria
Description: partial 16S ribosomal RNA
Rfam family: Bacterial small subunit ribosomal RNA
Source: RNAcentral
GUGGGGAAUUUUGGACAAUGGGCGCAAGCCUGAUCCAGCAAUGCCGCGUGCAGGAAGAAGGCCUUCGGGUUGUAAACUGCUUUUGUACGGAACGAAACGGUCCGGGUUAAUACCCUGGGCUAAUGACGAUACCGUAAGAAUAAGCACCGGCUAACUACGUGCCAGCAGCCGCGGUAAUACGUAGGGUGCGAGCGUUAAUCGGAAUUACUGGGCGUAAAGCGUGCGCAGGCGGUGCUGUAAGACAGGCGUGAAAUCCCCGGGCUCAACCUGGGAAUUGCGCUUGUGACUGCAGUGCUGGAGUGCGGCAGAGGGGGAUGGAAUUCCGCGUGUAGCAGUGAAAUGCGUAGAUAUGCGGAGGAACACCGAUGGCGAAGGCAAUCCCCUGGGCCUGCACUGACGCUCAUGCACGAAAGCGUGGGGAGCAAACAGGAUUAGAAACCCUAGUAGUCC